AAACUANUUUAAUUUGGCGGCAUUUCAUCUAUUUAGAGGAAUUUGUCCUUUAAUCGAUAAUCCACGUUAAAUUUCACUUUGAUCCUAAAAUUUAUAUACCACCAUCUUAAGAAUUAAUUUAAAAAUAUUCCUCUCAAUAAUUAAUAAAAAGUUAGGUCAAGGUAUAAUCAAUAUCAAAGAAUAAGAUGAAUUACAUUAAAUAAUAUUUAAAGACUAUAUUAGAUAUAUAAAUAUAAAUAAGAAUUUAAAAGUAAUAUAAUAAUAAUAAUAUUAUAUGAUAAAGAUAAUCAAUGUGCACACAUCGCCC
RNAcentral lists this ribosomal RNA (307 nucleotides) under Inermocoelotes paramicrolepidus. RNAcentral's name for it is "partial 12S ribosomal RNA". Lineage: Eukaryota; Metazoa; Arthropoda; Arachnida; Araneae; Agelenidae. The record is from RNAcentral.